GCAUAUCAAUAAGCGGAGGAAAAGAAACCAACAGGGAUUGCCCCAGUAACGGCGAGUGAAGCGGCAACAGCUCAAAUUUGAAAUCUGGCCCCCAGGGCCCGAGUUGUAAUUUGCAGAGGAUGCUUUUGGCGCGGUGCCUUCCGAGUUCCCUGGAACGGGACGCCAUAGAGGGUGAGAGCCCCGUCUGGUCGGACGCCUAGCCUGUGUAAAGCUCCUUCGACGAGUCGAGUAGUUUGGGAAUGCUGCUCUAAAUGGGAGGUAUAUGUCUUCUAAAGCUAAAUACCGGCCAGAGACCGAUAGCGCACAAGUAGAGUGAUCGAAAGAUGAAAAGCACUUUGAAAAGAGGGUUAAAUAGUACGUGAAAUUGUUGAAAGGGAAGCGCUUGUGACCAGACUUGGGCCCGGUGGAUCAUCCAGCGUUCUCGCUGGUGCACUCCGCCGGGUUCAGGCCAGCAUCAGUUCGCCGCGGGGGAAAAAGGCUUCGGGAACGUGGCUCCUACGGGAGUGUUAUAGCCCGUUGCAUAAUACCCUGGGGCGGACUGAGGUUCGCGCUCCGCAAGGAUGCUGGCGUAAUGGUCAUCAGCGACCCGUCUUGAAACACGGACCAAGGAGUCGUCUUCGUAUGCGAGUGUUCGGGUGUAAAACCCCUACGCGUAAUGAAAGUGAACGCAGGUGAGAGCUUCGGCGCAUCAUCGACCGAUCCUGAUGUUCUCGGAUGGAUUUGAGUAAGAGCAUACGGGGCCGGACCCGAAAGAAGGUGAACUAUGCCUGUAUAGGGUGAAGCCAGAGGAAACUCUGGUGGAGGCUCGCAGCGGUUCUGACGUGCAAAUCGAUCGUCAAAUAUGGGCAUGGGGGCGAAAGACUAAUCGAACCUUCUAGUAGCUGGUUUCCGCGA
RNAcentral lists this ribosomal RNA (894 nucleotides) under Purpureocillium lilacinum. RNAcentral's name for it is "LSU rRNA". It matches the Rfam family "Eukaryotic large subunit ribosomal RNA", at positions 38 to 963 of the family's 3401-position model. Lineage: Eukaryota; Fungi; Ascomycota; Sordariomycetes; Hypocreales; Ophiocordycipitaceae. The record is from RNAcentral.